UUUUCCGCAAUGGGCGAAAGCCUGACGGAGCAAUGCCGCGUGAGUGAUGAAGGUUUUCGGAUCGUAAAACUCUGUUGUUAGAGAAGAACAAGGAUGAGAGUAACUGUUCAUCCCUUGACGGUAUCUAACCAGAAAGCCACGGCUAACUACGUGCCAGCAGCCGCGGUAAUACGUAGGUGGCAAGCGUUGUCCGGAUUUAUUGGGCGUAAAGCGAGCGCAGGCGGUUUCUUAAGUCUGAUGUGAAAGCCCCCCGGCUCAACCGGGGAGGGUCAUUGGAAACUGGGAGACUUGAGUGCGGAAGAGGAGAGUGGAAUUCCAUGUGUAGCGGUGAAGUGCGUAGAUAUAUGGAGGAACACCAGUGGCGAAGGCGGCUCUCUGGUCUGUAACUGACGCCGAGGCUCGAAAGCGUGGGGAGCAAACAG
RNAcentral lists this ribosomal RNA (422 nucleotides) under uncultured bacterium. RNAcentral's name for it is "bacterial SSU rRNA". It matches the Rfam family "Bacterial small subunit ribosomal RNA", at positions 362 to 775 of the family's 1533-position model. The record is from RNAcentral.